GACGAGUGGCGGACGGGUGAGUAAUGCUUGGGAACUUGCCUUUGCGAGGGGGAUAACAGUUGGAAACGACUGCUAAUACCGCAUAAUGUCUUCGGACCAAACGGGGCUUCGGCUCCGGCGCAAAGAGAGGCCCAAGUGAGAUUAGCUAGUUGGUAAGGUAACGGCUUACCAAGGCGACGAUCUCUAGCUGUUCUGAGAGGAAGAUCAGCCACACUGGGACUGAGACACGGCCCAGACUCCUACGGGAGGCAGCAGUGGGGAAUAUUGCACAAUGGGGGAAACCCUGAUGCAGCCAUGCCGCGUGUGUGAAGAAGGCCUUCGGGUUGUAAAGCACUUUCAGUUGUGAGGAAAAGUUAGUAGUUAAUACCUGCUAGCCGUGACGUUAACAACAGAAGAAGCACCGGCUAACUCCGUGCCAGCAGCCGCGGUAAUACGGAGGGUGCGAGCGUUAAUCGGAAUUACUGGGCGUAAAGCGCACGCAGGCGGUUUGUUAAGCUAGAUGUGAAAGCCCCGGGCUCAACCUGGGAUGGUCAUUUAGAACUGGCAGACUAGAGUCUUGGAGAGGGGAGUGGAAUUCCAGGUGUAGCGGUGAAAUGCGUAGAUAUCUGGAGGAACAUCAGUGGCGAAGGCGACUCCCUGGCCAAAGACUGACGCUCAUGUGC
This 662-nucleotide ribosomal RNA is filed under the name Alteromonas macleodii. Its description in RNAcentral is "bacterial SSU rRNA". It matches the Rfam family "Bacterial small subunit ribosomal RNA", at positions 90 to 754 of the family's 1533-position model. Lineage: Bacteria; Pseudomonadati; Pseudomonadota; Gammaproteobacteria; Alteromonadales; Alteromonadaceae. The record is from RNAcentral.